CCUGUUAUCCUUCCACCGUUGGAAGCGGGCAGUAAACGCUGCUCUGUGAAACCAGCCUAACGUGGUGCCUGCCGCUUCAGGGCCUGAGAGGCCGAGGCUUUCGCCCCAGCCACCCAGCCCACUACCAACUUGGAACGGGCAAGCCGGCAAAGUCACUCCACAGGCCCACCGAGAAUACGCACCAAUCAUCCACACCACCUUGAUGCCCCCACAUGGGUCACAAGCUCUCGUGACUGA
Molecule: ribosomal RNA, 237 nt
Filed under: Triticum aestivum (bread wheat)
Lineage: Eukaryota; Viridiplantae; Streptophyta; Magnoliopsida; Poales; Poaceae
Description: partial small subunit ribosomal RNA
Source: RNAcentral